RNAcentral lists this ribosomal RNA (375 nucleotides) under uncultured bacterium. RNAcentral's name for it is "bacterial SSU rRNA". It matches the Rfam family "Bacterial small subunit ribosomal RNA", at positions 790 to 1167 of the family's 1533-position model. The record is from RNAcentral.
GUAGUCCACGCCGUAAACGAUGAUUACUAGGUGUGGGGGGAUUGAACCCUUCCGUGCCGGAGUUAACACAAUAAGUAAUCCACCUGGGGAGUACGACCGCAAGGUUGAAACUCAAAGGAAUUGACGGGGGCCCGCACAAGCAGUGGAGUAUGUGGUUUAAUUCGACGCAACGCGAAGAACCUUACCAGGUCUUGACAUCGAGUGAAGAUACUAGAGAUAGUGUCGUCCCUUCGGGGACACAAAGACAGGUGGUGCAUGGUUGUCGUCAGCUCGUGUCGUGAGAUGUUGGGUUAAGUCCCGCAACGAGCGCAACCCUUAUGAUUAGUUGCUACAUUAAGUUGAGCACUCUAAUCAGACUGCCGUUGACAAAACGGA